RNAcentral lists this non-coding RNA (804 nucleotides) under Drosophila simulans. RNAcentral's name for it is "Eukaryotic large subunit ribosomal RNA". It matches the Rfam family "Eukaryotic large subunit ribosomal RNA", at positions 1696 to 2280 of the family's 3401-position model. The record is from Rfam by way of RNAcentral. Lineage: Eukaryota; Metazoa; Arthropoda; Insecta; Diptera; Drosophilidae.
UUUCUGUUUUAUAGCCGUACUACCAUGGAAGUCUUUCGCAGAGAGAUAUGGUAGAUGGGCUAGAAGAGCAUGACAUAUACUGUUGUGUCGAUAUUUUCUCCUCGGACCUUGAAAAUUUAUGGUGGGGACACGCAAACUUCUCAACAGGCCGUACCAAUAUCCGCAGCUGGUCUCCAAGGUGAAGAGUCUCUAGUCGAUAGAAUAAUGUAGGUAAGGGAAGUCGGCAAAUUAGAUCCGUAACUUCGGGAUAAGGAUUGGCUCUGAAGAUUGAGAUAGUCGGGCUUGAUUGGGAAACAAUAACAUGGUUUAUGUGCUCGUUCUGGGUAAAUAGAGUUUCUAGCAUUUAUGUUAGUUACUUGUUCCCCGGAUAGUUUAGUUACGUAGCCAAUUGUGGAACUUUCUUGCUAAAAUUUUUAAGAAUACUAUUUGGGUUAAACCAAUUAGUUCUUAUCAAUUAUAACGAUUAUCAAUUAACAAUCAAUUCAGAACUGGCACGGACUUGGGGAAUCCGACUGUCUAAUUAAAACAAAGCAUUGUGAUGGCCCUAGCGGGUGUUGACACAAUGUGAUUUCUGCCCAGUGCUCUGAAUGUCAAAGUGAAGAAAUUCAAGUAAGCGCGGGUCAACGGCGGGAGUAACUAUGACUCUCUUAAGGGGAUCUGGGGUAAUUGCGAGCAGAGGGGGAGUAUUUUUCUGUAAUUCGUAAGUCAUAUCAUAUGGUGUGCGGAAGGGGAAUUUUACUCUGUAACUCACAAGUCUCUCCUUUACUCAAGUCGACUCAAAACCUCCUCGUGGUGGUCCCCGGU